UGAGGAAUAUUGCACAAUGGGCGCAAGCCUGAUGCAGCGACGCCGCGUGUGGGAUGAAGGGGCUACGCCUCGUAAACCACUGUAGCCCGGGACGAAAAACGCCUUAGAGGCGUUAGACGGUACCGGGAAAGUAAGGGUCGGCUAACUACGUGCCAGCAGCCGCGGUAAUACGUAGGACCCAAGCGUUGUCCGGAUUUACUGGGUGUAAAGGGUGCGCAGGCGGAUGGGUAAGUCAGGGGUGAAAGUCUGCAGCUUAACUGUAGAAUUGCCAUUGAUACUGCUCAUCUUGAGGGUGGGAGAUGUUGAUGGAAUGCCAGGUGUAGCAGUGAAAUGCGUAGAUAGCUGGAAGAACACCAGUGGCGAAGGCGGUCAACUGGCCCAUAACUGACGCUCAUGCACGAAAGCGUGG
This 409-nucleotide ribosomal RNA is filed under the name uncultured bacterium. RNAcentral's name for it is "bacterial SSU rRNA". It matches the Rfam family "Bacterial small subunit ribosomal RNA", at positions 355 to 764 of the family's 1533-position model. The record is from RNAcentral.